UACGUAGGGUGCAAGCGUUAAUCGGAAUUACUGAGCGUAAAGCGUGCGCAGGCGGUUGUGCAAGACAGAUGUGAAAUCCCCGGGCUCAACCUGGGAAUUGCAUUUGUGACUGCACGGCUAGAGUGUGUCAGAGGGGGGUAGAAUUCCACGUGUAGCAGUGAAAUGCGUAGAGAUGUGGAGGAAUACCGAUGGCGAAGGCAGCCCCCUGGGAUAACACUGACGCUCAUGCACGAAAGCGUGGGGAGCAAACAGG
This 253-nucleotide ribosomal RNA is filed under the name uncultured bacterium. RNAcentral describes it as "partial 16S ribosomal RNA". It matches the Rfam family "Bacterial small subunit ribosomal RNA", at positions 524 to 776 of the family's 1533-position model. The record is from RNAcentral.